This is a long non-coding RNA of Mauremys reevesii (Reeves's turtle), 821 nucleotides long. RefSeq lists it as uncharacterized. NCBI's taxonomy places the organism in Eukaryota, Metazoa, Chordata, Testudines, Geoemydidae. The record is from RefSeq and is a predicted model, not a curated record. The transcript is spliced from 3 exons.
GGGGAGAGGAAGUGUGGCUGAAGGGCUGGUUAAUGAAGACACCCUCAAACCAUUGAGAAAAUAUGAAUGAAGUUUUCUACCUGAUCCUACUUCUAUGGAGGUCAAUGAAGGGCAAAACUCUCAGAUGCACCGGUGGGAGCAAGGUUGAGCCAUUUGAUAAGAUUGCAAGUUUGACUGAUAAAAGGGAUGAAAAAAAAAUGACCUGGCUGCGGGGCCAAGUUGCAGGAAGAGAACGACAAUCGACGUGGGUUCUAGCAGAAGAGCCUACGGUGCCACACCCUGCCACGAAAGGGCACACCAGCAACGAGUCUACUUUUCCAUAGUUAAAUAAAUAAAUAAAUAAAAAAGCUUGUCACCUUAGAUCUAGCUUGGAACUUUAAUUACACAGUACAUCUUCAGUGACAGCUUGUAACAUGGAGGAUCAGAUAAUAUGCAAAAUGCCAUAGAAACAGUUAUUAAAACAAACCAGAGUCAGUAAGCUAGCAUCAUAGGCCGAGAAAUGAAUGUAUCCAUAACAAAUGAUCUUCUCUGCAAAUAUAUAUUUUAUGACCCCCAUAGACAUGGAGGAGAAUAGAAGGAAAUGUUCACUAAAUCCUAGAAAGGAAAUGAAGAUACUGAGUUAAACAUUCCAUUGCCACCAACACGCUUAAACCUAAUGAAUUACAUAGGAAACUUGUUUUCACGUAUUUCAUCACCUUUAGCAGUAUUUGGAGCUCUCUUUGAGUUGCACAUGUAUUUCUAGGUAUAUCGUGCUAAAACCUGGCGUCAUUGACGUCAGUGGGAAUGUUGCCUUUGUUUCCAGUGAAACCUGAAUUUGACUC